UUACAAUUUGAUGUUUGCCCUAUACCUUAGAAGCAUUUUGCCAGGAAAAGGGAGUUUCCAUUGCACAAAAUGGGAUGGUAAGACAGAGAUUUCAGGAAAAAACAUGGGUGAAUAUAUUGAAACCAUGCCCCCUCUCAAGGUACACUCCAUGAAACAACAUACUCCAGCUUGCAUACAUUUAAAGGUGUAGGAAAAAAAUAUUGGCUUCUGGAGAACAGUAAAAAUUGUGGGAAUUGGACUAUUUGUCACAUGCAUGGACCCUGGGUUUAUACAUUUCAGGAAGAAGAAUAUCCCUCAUCCACGGUCUUUAGAUCUUUGGCUGUUAACAAAGAUGUUCUAUCCAUUUCAAGGCCUGAUACAACUCUCCCUCUCCUCAGCAACUGAGUUGUAAUGAAGCAGUGAGAACUCUGAAGCUCUGGAAGGAGAGUGAGCGAAUGGGUGUUCCUGGCUCAAAAGUGAGUCUCUGGAAAAGCCACUGCAGAACCUGGUCAGUCUGGUAGAGGUAGUUAGCAAGUAAGCUAUGGCAUUUCCCACUGACAUCACCGGUAGUGUCUUCCCUGGAAAUUCUCUUGUAUCCAGGAGACACUAGAAUGUUCUGUGAUGUCACCAGUGUUGUGGUGACACCAACUGCCUGAGCGAUUUCCCUUCAUUUCCUAAUGGGUUCCCGAGGAGGCAUGUUCUCCAGGAUCCUCAGUCUCUUUCGGAGGGACAAUCAUAUCCAUACAGGCACCAGACCGAGGCAGAGGGAGGCCAGCCCUCCAUCACGUUGGAGAAGAAGACGAAUGGAAAGGUCCUUGAGGAGGUCAAAGUCUGAUCAGAAGGCAUCAUCCCAACCCUCCAUGACACCUGUUGAGGAGGAGAGAAUGAAGCGUCUGGAGAACAUCAAAAUUGCUCUCCAGAAGAUGCAGAAGGAGAGAGAUGAACUCAGGAGAAUCCUGGCGGAUUAC
This is a non-coding RNA of Rattus norvegicus (Norway rat), 947 nucleotides long. NCBI's taxonomy places the organism in Eukaryota, Metazoa, Chordata, Mammalia, Rodentia, Muridae. The record is from RefSeq and is a predicted model, not a curated record.